This 466-nucleotide ribosomal RNA is filed under the name uncultured Bacteroidota bacterium. RNAcentral's name for it is "bacterial SSU rRNA". It matches the Rfam family "Bacterial small subunit ribosomal RNA", at positions 355 to 824 of the family's 1533-position model. The record is from RNAcentral. Lineage: Bacteria; Pseudomonadati; Bacteroidota.
UGGGGAAUAUUGGUCAAUGGACGAAAGUCUGAACCAGCCAUGCCGCGUGGAGGAUGAAGGUCCUCUGGACUGUAAACUUCUUUUAUAUGGGACGAAAAAAGGCUUUUCUAAGUCGUCUGACGGUACCAUAUGAAUAAGCACCGGCUAACUCCGUGCCAGCAGCCGCGGUAAUACGGAGGGCGCAAGCGUUAUCCGGAUUCACUGGGUUUAAAGGGUGCGUAGGUGGGUUGGUAAGUCAGUGGUGAAAUCCCGAGCUUAACUGGGAACUGCCAUUGAUACUAUCAGUCUUGAAUACCGUGGAGGUUAGCGGAAUAUGUCAUGUAGCGGUGAAAUGCUUAGAUAUGACAUAGAACACCAAUUGCGAAGGCAGCUGGCUACACGAAUAUUGACACUGAGCACGAAGCGUGGGGAUCAAACAGGAUAGAUACCUGGUAGUCCACGCCCUAAACUAUGAUACUACGACAUC